AGAGUUUGAUCAUGGCUCAGAUUGAACGCUGGCGGCAGGCCUAACACAUGCAAGUCGAACGGUAACAGGAAGCAGCUUGCUGCUUCGCUGACGAGUGGCGGACGGGUGAGUAAUGUCUGGGAAGCUGCCUGAUGGAGGGGGAUAACUACUGGAAACGGUAGCUAAUACCGCAUAAUGUCGCAAGACCAAAGAGGGGGACCUUCGGGCCUCUUGCCAUCGGAUGUGCCCAGAUGGGAUUAGCUUGUUGGUGGGGUAACGGCUCACCAAGGCGACGAUCCCUAGCUGGUCUGAGAGGAUGACCAGCCACACUGGAACUGAGACACGGUCCAGACUCCUACGGGAGGCAGCAGUGGGGAAUAUUGCACAAUGGGCGCAAGCCUGAUGCAGCCAUGCCGCGUGUAUGAAGAAGGCCUUCGGGUUGUAAAGUACUUUCAGCGGGGAGGAAGGGAGUAAAGUUAAUACCUUUGCUCAUUGACGUUACCCGCAGAAGAAGCACCGGCUAACUCCGUGCCAGCAGCCGCGGUAAUACGGAGGGUGCAAGCGUUAAUCGGAAUUACUGGGCGUAAAGCGCACGCAGGCGGUUUGUUAAGUCAGAUGUGAAAUCCCCGGGCUCAACCUGGGAACUGCAUCUGAUACUGGCAAGCUUGAGUCUCGUAGAGGGGGGUAGAAUUCCAGGUGUAGCGGUGAAAUGCGUAGAGAUCUGGAGGAAUACCGGUGGCGAAGGCGGCCCCCUGGACGAAGACUGACGCUCAGGUGCGAAAGCGUGGGGAGCAAACAGGAUUAGAUACCCUGGUAGUCCACGCCGUAAACGAUGUCGACUUGGAGGUUGUGCCCUUGAGGCGUGGCUUCCGGAGCUAACGCGUUAAGUCGACCGCCUGGGGAGUACGGCCGCAAGGUUAAAACUCAAAUGAAUUGACGGGGGCCCGCACAAGCGGUGGAGCAUGUGGUUUAAUUCGAUGCAACGCGAAGAACCUUACCUGGUCUUGACAUCCACGGAAGUUUUCAGAGAUGAGAAUGUGCCUUCGGGAACCGUGAGACAGGUGCUGCAUGGCUGUCGUCAGCUCGUGUUGUGAAAUGUUGGGUUAAGUCCCGCAACGAGCGCAACCCUUAUCCUUUGUUGCCAGCGGUCCGGCCGGGAACUCAAAGGAGACUGCCAGUGAUAAACUGGAGGAAGGUGGGGAUGACGUCAAGUCAUCAUGGCCCUUACGACCAGGGCUACACAUGUGCUACAAUGGCGCAUACAAAGAGAAGCGACCUCGCGAGAGCAAGCGGACCUCAUAAAGUGCGUCGUAGUCCGGAUUGGAGUCUGCAACUCGACUCCAUGAAGUCGGAAUCGCUAGUAAUCGUGGAUCAGAAUGCCACGGUGAAUACGUUCCCGGGCCUUGUACACACCGCCCGUCACACCAUGGGAGUGGGUUGCAAAAGAAGUAGGUAGCUUAACCUUCGGGAGGGCGCUUACCACUUUGUGAUUCAUGACUGGGGUGAAGUCGUAACAAGGUAACCGUAGGGGAACCUGCGGUUG
RNAcentral lists this ribosomal RNA (1522 nucleotides) under metagenome. RNAcentral's name for it is "bacterial SSU rRNA". It matches the Rfam family "Bacterial small subunit ribosomal RNA". The record is from RNAcentral.